RNAcentral lists this ribosomal RNA (1397 nucleotides) under uncultured bacterium. Its description in RNAcentral is "bacterial SSU rRNA". It matches the Rfam family "Bacterial small subunit ribosomal RNA". The record is from RNAcentral.
UUGAUCCUGGCUCAAAACGAACGCUGGCGGCGCGUCUUAAUCAUGCAAGUCAAACGGCAAGGCAGGUGCUUGCACCUGCCCUAGAGUGGCGGACUGGUGAGUAACACGUGGGUGACAUGCCUUUUAGGUGGGGAUAGCUACUAGAAAUAGUAGAUAAUACCGAAUGUGAUCAAUAUUUAUAGAUGAUGUUGAGGAAAGGAGCUAAGGCUUCGCUAAAAGAUUGGCCCGCGGCCCAUUAGCUAGUUGGUAGGGUAAAGGCUUACCAAGGCGAUGAUGGGUAUCCGGCCUGAGAGGGUGAUCGGACACAUUGGGACUGAGAUACGGCCCAGACUCCUACGGGAGGCAGCAGCUAAGAAUAUCCCACAAUGGACGAAAGUCUGAUGGAGCGACGCCGCGUGGAUGAUGAAGGCCGAAAGGUUGUAAAAUCCUUUUACACUGGAGGAAUAAGCAGAGUAGGGAAUGACUCUGUGAUGACUGUACAGUUUGAAUAAGCAACGGCUAAUUACGUGCCAGCAGCCGCGGUAACACGUAAGUUGCGAGCGUUGUUCGGAAUUAUUGGGCGUAAAGGGCAUGUAGGCGGAUUUGCAAGCUUGAUGUGAAAUCCCGCAGCUUAACUGCGGAACUGCAUUGGGAACUGCAAGACUAGAGUUACUGAGGGGAAACUAGAAUUCCAAGUGUAGGGGUGAAAUCUGUAGAUAUUUGGAAGAACACCAAUGGCGAAGGCAAGUUUCUGGCAGAUAACUGACGCUGAGGUGCGAAGGUGCGGGGAGCAAACAGGAUUAGAUACCCUGGUAGUCCGCACAGUAAACGAUGUACACUAGGUGUUUGACCAUGAGGUUGAGUGCCAUAGCUAACGCAAUAAGUGUACCGCCUGGGAAGUAUGCCCGCAAGGGUGAAACUCAAAGGAAUUGACGGGGGCCCGCACAAGCGGUGGAGCAUGUGGUUUAAUUCGAAGCAACGCGAAGAACCUUACCUAGACUUGACAUCUCCUGAAUUACUCUGUAAUGGAGGAAGCCACUUCGGUGGCAGGAAGACAGGUGGUGCAUGGUUGUCGUCAGCUCGUGUCGUGAGAUGUUGGGUUAAGUCCCGCAACGAGCGCAACCCUUAUUGUUAGUUGCUACCAUUUAGUUGAGCACUCUAGCGAGACUGCCCGGGUUAACCGGGAGGAAGGUGGGGAUGACGUCAAAUCAUCAUGCCCCUUAUGUCUAGGGCUACACACGUGCUACAAUGGCUGGUACAGAGAGAUGCGAUACCGCGAGGUGGAGCCAAACUUUAAAACCAGUCUCAGUUCGGAUUGUAGGCUGAAACUCGCCUACAUGAAGCUGGAGUUGCUAGUAAUCGCGGAUCAGCACGCCGCGGUGAAUACGUUCCCGGGCCUUGUACACACCGCCCGUCAA